This 73-nucleotide transfer RNA is filed under the name Camelus bactrianus (Bactrian camel). It matches the Rfam family "tRNA". Rfam says of the family: Transfer RNA (tRNA) molecules are approximately 80 nucleotides in length. Their secondary structure includes four short double-helical elements and three loops (D, anti-codon, and T loops). Lineage: Eukaryota; Metazoa; Chordata; Mammalia; Artiodactyla; Camelidae. RNAcentral also lists the same sequence under 2 other names. The record is from Rfam by way of RNAcentral.
GGGUAUAUAGCUCAAGUGGUAGAGCUCACGCUUAACAUGAAUGAGGUCCUGGGUUCAAUCCCCAGUACCUCCA